AGGCGUGUAGGUGCGGCGUCCCUUGAGCAUCACCUGGCCGCGGGUCCCGAGGCUCUCCGUGGAAACCGAGCCCAGAACAAUCCCCUCUGAGCGCCUGGCACUGUCUUCCUUACCGCACUCGGGAGAGAGAGCACGUACACAAAAGUUGGGGAAAGAACAGAGAGAUUGGGAUAAGCAGACUCUGCGCUGAGCCCAGAUCCUGAUGUGAGGCUCAAUCUCAAGAUCCUGAAAUCAUGACCUGAGCCAAAAUCAAGAGUCAGAUGUUCAGCUGACCAAGUCACCCAGAGACACACAGAGAGAGAAAGGCAGAGACACACAGGCAGAGGGAGAAGCUGGCUCCACACAGGGAGCCCGACGUGGGACUGGAUUCCAGGGUCUCCGGGAUCACGCCAUGGGCUGGAGGCGGCACCAAACCUGCUGAGCCACCAGGGCUGCCCCUGUUGCCAAUUUCUAUCCUCAUCCCAUAAUGGCUGGAGAAGAUACUUUAUAUGAUACCUAUCUUUUUAAAUCUAUCGAGGCUUGUUUUGUAGACUAACAUAUGGUUUAUCCUAGAGAA
This is a long non-coding RNA of Nyctereutes procyonoides (raccoon dog), 556 nucleotides long. RefSeq lists it as uncharacterized. The transcript is spliced from 3 exons. Lineage: Eukaryota; Metazoa; Chordata; Mammalia; Carnivora; Canidae. The record is from RefSeq and is a predicted model, not a curated record.